GCAACCAUGACUUUGAUCAGCGUCUUCAUCUGCACACUGGCCCUCUGGACUCAAGGAUCCAGAGGUCAGGUGACUGUGACUCAGACUCCUUCAGUGCAAACUGUUGUUCCAGGAAACACAGUCACCAUCAACUGUAAAACCAGUAGCAGUGUGGCUAGUGGUAACUACCUCGCCUGGUACCUGCAGAAACCUGGAGAAGCUCCUAAACUCCUGAUAAACUUGGUUACAAGAUUACAGUCAGGAAUUCCAGAUCGUUUCAGAGGCAGUGGAUCGAAUACCGACUUCACUCUGACCAUCAGUGGAGUCCAGACUGAAGAUGCAGGAGAUUACUACUGUCUGAGUUUACAUCAUAUCAGUGGUAACUGGGUGUUCACACAGUGUUAG
Silurus meridionalis is the source of this 384-nucleotide non-coding RNA. NCBI's taxonomy places the organism in Eukaryota, Metazoa, Chordata, Actinopteri, Siluriformes, Siluridae. The record is from the annotation of a RefSeq genome assembly.